Molecule: unclassified non-coding RNA, 367 nt
Filed under: Bombus terrestris (buff-tailed bumblebee)
Lineage: Eukaryota; Metazoa; Arthropoda; Insecta; Hymenoptera; Apidae
Description: misc RNA ENSBTSG00005031865.1
Source: RNAcentral
CUGCGAUUACGGUCACUACACUUUGUUACACUACAUUUGUUUCCAUUUUAAAUAUCGUGCUAUUUAAUCUUGACCCAUAACAUUUCCACUUAUUUUCGCUCUGUACAUAACUACCCUUACCUUUCUUUUUCUUAUUUUCCUUGGCAGCGUGGCCACUGGAACCGCGAAAAAUUCAAAGCGUAAUAUGUAAUACCCUGAUUUCAAUUAUCGUUCCUCUGACACUGCUGACGUUCGCACACAUUUCGCGGAAGUAAUUAAUUCCUCGCACGCUCGAUCCUUCGAUAGUUUCUCGAAUAUUUUGCACGCGUUUGCGUAUCGCUCUUAUUCGAUCGGUUCGACGAGUUUCACGCAAAGUAUUCAGAAAGUG